Pelobates cultripes (western spadefoot toad) is the source of this 334-nucleotide non-coding RNA. The record is from the annotation of a GenBank genome assembly. Lineage: Eukaryota; Metazoa; Chordata; Amphibia; Anura; Pelobatidae.
CUGAUGUUUUGGUCACUUUUGAAUGCUGGCGGUGCUUUCACUCUAGUGGUAGCAUGAGACGGCGUCUACAACCCACACAAGUGGCUCAGGUAGUUCAGCUCAUCCAGGAUGGCACAUCAAUGCAAGCUGUGGCAAGAAGGUUUGCUGUGUCUGUCAGCGUAGUGUCCAGAGCAUGGAGGCGCUACCAGGAGACAGGCCAGUACAUCAGGAGACGUGGAGGAGGCCGUAAGAGGGCAACAACCCAGCAGCAGGACCGCUACCUCCGCCUUUGUACAAGGAGGAACAGGAGGAGCACUGCCAGAGCCCUGCAAAAUGACCUCCAGCAGGCCACAAA